RNAcentral lists this ribosomal RNA (474 nucleotides) under Triticum aestivum (bread wheat). RNAcentral's name for it is "partial small subunit ribosomal RNA". The record is from RNAcentral. Lineage: Eukaryota; Viridiplantae; Streptophyta; Magnoliopsida; Poales; Poaceae.
AUGGGACAAUGGUUUCAGACUCUCUGCAAACGGAGACACUUCGAAUCUACUCCAAAGGAUAUCUUCAGGCGAAGCAAACCUGGGGUGCUGAGAAGCAGACCGUGGGAUGAGAAGAGCCCAUGGUUCCCUUAUUAUUAUCGUUCAGUAUUACUUUUCAUUACACUGCGUAUCCUACUUAAUUCAUGGUAUACCGGAUCAGGAUUGUUAUCAGCCAAGUUCUUGCAAUUUUCAGAUAAGGAUGGGCACAAGAAACUGAUGAGGAUUAUUACAGCAGAAUCUCCAGGCCUAUUGAAUUAUUUUGGUCUAGAGGCCCUUAAAAGCUUUUGUGGCACAGAAAUUGCAGGAUCACUGCAGUUAAGCCAAGGAUCACGCAUGGUCGAUAGAAGAGGCAUCUGGGUGCAAGAGGCAGGGUUGGCGGCGAGCUUGAUCGGCGGCCACAGAGAGUGGCGCUGGGUGGGAGGGAGCCAACUGUGA